AACGAACGCUGGCGGCAUGCCUAACACAUGCAAGUCGAACGAGACCUUCGGGUCUAGUGGCGCACGGGUGCGUAACGCGUAGGAACCUGCCCUUAGGUUCGGAAUAACUCCCCGAAAGGGGUGCUAAUACCGGAUAAUGUCUUCGGACCAAAGAUUUAUCGCCUUUGGAUGGGCCCGCGUUGGAUUAGCUAGUUGGUAGGGUAAAAGCCUACCAAGGCGACGAUCCAUAGCUGGUCUGAGAGGAUGAUCAGCCACACUGGGACUGAGACACGGCCCAGACUCCUACGGGAGGCAGCAGUGGGGAAUAUUGGACAAUGGGCGAAGGCCUGAUCCAGCAAUGCCGCGUGAGUGAUGAAGGCCUUAGGGUUGUAAAGCUCUUUUACCCGGGAUGAUAAUGACAGUACCGGGAGAAUAAGCUCCGGCUAACUCCGUG
This 433-nucleotide ribosomal RNA is filed under the name uncultured bacterium. Its description in RNAcentral is "partial 16S ribosomal RNA". It matches the Rfam family "Bacterial small subunit ribosomal RNA", at positions 29 to 507 of the family's 1533-position model. The record is from RNAcentral.